UUCCUCUGCUAAUCCUCCCGCAGCGCCCGCCAGCCCUAGCCUUGUUUGCCUACCCGCCUCGCCUUUCCUUUCCAUGGUCCUGAAGUUGCCGCGCUCCCAUGCCGGAAAUCCCCUUCUCGUCUAGAUCUUUGAUCAAACUACUUUCCUUUUUCCAUGCUGAUCUCGUCUAGAUCUAUAUUGUUCCGAUCGAGGAGACGGGGAACGGUGAAUCUCUCUCUCUUGGUAUAUAUAUGUUCGAAACACAUGGAUUUGUUUUGUGAUGUGCAGUUUCCAUCUAAUUAAUUGAUGAGCGCGUGCGCCGACUCGGAUCGAGAUGAGGCUGCGUCCAUAUGGGCACGGUGGCGUCUGAACCUCGUGUUUGGGCGCGUCGGUUCUGAUGUUGAGCUGGGACGUUUCGGAUAGGUUGGAUGUUCUCGGCGGAUUCGGAGGCAUCGAAACGUCGCUGCGGCGUGGUCGGAUCCUGGAUCUGCUCCAACUCGCGUGAUGAUGUCUCUUUGUAUUGAUAAUUAUUGGAUGAAACUUCGAUAAUUAUUAGAUCCGAGAGAUGUUGCUCGGAGCGAUCCGUGCCCAACUGAAGCCGAGGUAAGCUACACACAUGUAACCUCCGAGUUGCUCGCGUGUGGAGUGGGAAGGAGGGAAAAAAGAUGUGAAAAGAAGAGAAAAGAUGUGAAAAAAAGAGAGAUGUGACAUCUUGAAGGCCUUUGCCAUGAUGGGUGCGCUCGCAUGGCAGGCCACCGUAAUAAAGAUUUUGAUUUUGUGCCUUGGGUGGGAGAUCGCACGGGGGAGCUUUUAUUUCAAUCCCCCCGGGUUCUCCCUCCCUUUUGUGUCCCUGUGCCCUGCUUCCUAUUGUUGGCGCACGUCUUUCCGAUACACCUCUUGGCAUGCUACAAAUUGGCAAGGAGCUACAGCGCAACACGCAAGGUACACUUGGUAAUUCGAAAUUUACAGUCUGAAGUAAUUUUAGUACAGAACUAAAUUUAUUGUCGUCCAUAACUCCUACAAUUGGUAAUUCGAAAUUUACAGGCUGAAAUUGCAAUUUAUAGUACAGACUAGCUAAAUAUUUUUAUUGUCGUCCAUAACUCCGCGCAAAGUCAUGCUUGCUAAUUUUAACCCGUGCAUAGUUAUGCUACCAUCCAUGCGUAAAGUUGCACCGCACUAUGCUUGGCCAUGCGCAGGAAGGUGUAUAACGUUUCCAAUUGCUUACAGUAUAACGUUUCCAAUUGCUUACAGUAUAACGUUUCCAAUUGCUUACAAUAUAACGUUUCCCAUAUAAAAGCUUUUGCGAUGGAUAUUUUCUGUAGUUGGUGUACAUUUAGAUAUCACACACUCUUGUGAGAAUGAAGUAAAUGAAAUGGUCAGCUUUGCAUCCCUUUAGAUUGCAGAAGAACAGCCCGAACUCACGACUGUUCAAAUGUACAUCUGAUGAAAUUUCUAGCAAUUUCGACUUCGCACCCCAUGAAAAUAAACUAUGAAAACCGUGCUGAUUUGUUCAAUUUCCAACUGCUGAUCCACAGAUUUAUCUUCUUUGUUUCAACUGUUAUGCUUUUAUUAUCAAUCGUUAUCUGCUACAUGUUUGAUAUUACAAGUUAAUUAUCUGGUAUUUUGUUCUAGUGGUUAUUUUCCAAAUUAAGAUGUAUUUAUUAUUAUUUUAUCUGAGAACGACCAAAUGUUGCAAGGUACUGAGGUAGCUGUACUGUUUCCUCAUGUAUCCUUUCUUACACAGGUUGCCUCAUGGCAACUAUUAGUUCUUUGUAAUCAGCCUGUGUAAGUGCGGAUUGUCUCACUUGUAUGCUGUAUGAAGAUCUAGUCUCAACCUACAUGGUGGUAUUGAAUUGAACAAGGAUGUGGGGAAGGUCUUGAGCUCUGCGCCUGUUAUUGCUGAAGCUUCUCCUGUGCUGAAGGUUCCUGCUGUUCUUGCUCCCGGAAUUUGGCAGUUCACGCAUGCUGUUUGAUGGCGAUCACCAUGAUGAUGGGUAAUAUGUAGUUUGUCCUCGGUUCAUUGCUGAAGAUUACUGUUUUCCCACGGAGGAUGCCGUUUACAUGUGUAGUUUCUCCUGAAGGUUGCUGCUGUUCUUCUCCCAGCAUUCUGCAGUUAAAACAUGCUGGUUGAGCGCGAGAUACACUUCAUUGCCGUGGCAGGCUCAUUGGCUGCAUGGCAGGCUUCAACAUGGCUAUGUUAACUCAAGUCUAGCGGUUGAGACCCAAUAUUAAGUUAAUUUCAUUGUUAGUAUGGCUUUACCUUAUUUGGAUACUUAAUUAUGAGGUGGUUGAGCUGUAACAACUGUUAUCUGGAGACUAUUCUGUUAUCUAUGGUUCGGAUAAGUUGCCAGCUUCGUGUCGGCUGCAAAUAUUGGAGCUGUCUGCAAAUUAUGGAGGCUGGAUACAAAUUAUGGAGCAGAACGACGCUUUAUGAAGCUCACCAAAUGUACGAAGUCGUUUAUGGCGAAGCUAUAGUUUCAAAACCUAAGCUCUUAACUUCGUACUCGUUGAGGCCAUGGGGGCAAUCGAUCUGUCCACGUUGCUAGGUUGGAGAAACCCAUAUCUUAUUGAGUAAUUAAUCUUUCUAAAGUGCACCAAAAAUUAAGCA
This is a long non-coding RNA of Panicum hallii, 2587 nucleotides long. RefSeq lists it as uncharacterized. Lineage: Eukaryota; Viridiplantae; Streptophyta; Magnoliopsida; Poales; Poaceae. The record is from RefSeq and is a predicted model, not a curated record. The transcript has 3 exons.